This is a long non-coding RNA of Loxodonta africana (African savanna elephant), 3790 nucleotides long. RefSeq lists it as uncharacterized. The record is from RefSeq and is a predicted model, not a curated record. NCBI's taxonomy places the organism in Eukaryota, Metazoa, Chordata, Mammalia, Proboscidea, Elephantidae. The transcript is spliced from 3 exons.
GGUUCUGCCACGUGUGAUCGCAGCACUUAUGCUGGGAAGGAGGGCAGGAAGCAUAUCGCAACGUGCGUCCGGACGAUGACCCAGAAGGGCAGGAGUUGUGGUCACCCACGGACUCUGCGUCUGCAUAUGGAGGCCCCCAGGGUGCAAUUCCAGGAGCAGAAGGCAAAUCCACAGAGGCCACAGUGCACCUCGCCGAUGCUCCCCAGGGGCAUUGCCCCAAAUUUGGGGAACAGUCCCUCCUCUGGGCUAGGGACUUUGUUUCCUCCAUUGUCAUCACUGACUGUGAGCAGACUCUUGUCUAGGCAGACUAAUGAGGAGUUAUCAAAAUGAGCUUCAAAGUCCGGAUUUGAGUUAAGGAUCAUAAAUUAACACAGAGAAAUACGACUUUAGCAAUAAGUGCCUGCUUGAAGCCCAAGUUGCCUGAAAACGCGGAAUUUCAGUCUUUCAGCUCCUCUGCUAAUCUAGGGACUAAGAACAGGAUCUCACUGGAGCUCAAAGAUGUGGGGCACUGGAAAUACUCCUGGGUCUGUCUGCUCAUGGCUGAUUGCCUGAUUCCCAGUUUUAUUAUACAGCUUAAAUACAGACCAGAAGAGGAGUUUGGGGCUUGACACCUGACAUCUUAACACCAGUUCCUGUUUCUUGAGGAAGGAAGAGGUAAAAUAAAUCAGCGUUUACUGUGUCCUUCUCCAUCCCCGGAAGUCCUGAUGAAGACCCUCUCAGAGAUGCAGCACACACAGAAUCCCAGCUGGAUUACAGACUUGAACCUGAAGACCUUAUGCAGAAUGACAAUUUAUGAACCACUAAGCUCAGUACUAAAGCAGCUUCAACUUGAACGUGAAUAUGAGCAACUGAUCAUCUGUUCUGCAGUCAGCCCCUGGCCUGAUUCUGACUCAUGAUAUUGACCAAGUGAAGAGUGAUUCAGAGAAAAACAUGGGUAGAGUGUGACCUAAUUUCCAUAAAAACAAACAAAUGAAUGUACUUACAUGUGUCCCGGCAAAAAGAAGUGUGUAAAAGGGUACAUAUGUAUCUUUGGACACUGGACACUUCAGGGGAGCAGGUACAAUAUACUUAUGUGGGGAUGGCUCUUAUUAUAACUUCUAUAUACAAAUCUCUAUUGUUAAAUGUGUUAUAAGAAUGUAAAAGCUUUUAAAGUUUAAUAACAUCAUACGUGUAUGUGUGUGUAUUUGAAACUUUUUUUCUUUUGACUAUUUUAUAUAUGUGUUUUUUAGUUAUCUAGUUUUUUUUUUUAGUGUGGCUAUAGCAGAGAUACCACAAGUGGAUGGCUUUAACAAACAGAAACUUAUUCUCUCACAGUUUAAGAAGCAACAAGUUUGAAGUCAGGGCACCAGGUCUAGGAGAAAGCUUUCUCUCUUUGUGGCUCUGGGGGAAGGUCCUUGUCAUCUAUCUUCCCCUGGCCUAGGAAAUUCUCAGCGCGUGGACACUGGGUCAAAAAGACGUGCUCCACUCCAGGCACUUCUUCCUUGGUAGUAUGAGGUCCCUCUCAUUUCUGCUCACUCUUCUCUUUGUAUCUCAAAAGAGACUGACUCAAGACUCACCCUAAUCCUGUAGAUUGUGUCCUCCCUCAUUAACCUAACUGCCUCUAAUCCCACCUUAUUAACAUCACAGAGGUUACAAUUUACAACACAUAAGUAAUCACAUCAGAUCACAAAAUGCAGGACAACCACACAAUACUGGGAAUCAUGGUCUGGCCAGGUUGGCACACAUUUUGGGGGACACUAUUCAAUCCAUAACAAUAGAGAAAACACUGUCUUCAAUGCCAGAUUCAGAGACUUUUAUCAAUCUAUGAAGGGCAAACACAGAUAUUGAACAAAAUUCAGACCAGCGAAUUAUUGCUUGCUCUUGUAACUAAUGACUUCUUCUGGUCUCUGUACCUGGAAAUGGCCAAAAAGAAUUCUGUGAGGAUUAAUUCGGUUAUUGCUAAAACAUCUACUGCAUUUACAUGUCUACAGAUAAGGAAGAAUGCUGGACACCAUGUGUGAUUCAUUAAGUAACACAGGGACUAUUAGACUGUUGUUCUCCUUCUCUGAUAUGCCACUAUCACCUUCUCCCCUUGUUGCUCUCCUGAAAAACCCACACUUGUAUAUUCUAGGCUUUUUUCCAGGAUUGAAUUUGCAGGAAGUUGAAGAUAUAUCUUUGAAAGAUAAAAAAGACUUUGGCCACAUUGUCUUUAGACAGUCGAACUUCCCAGCCAGCCUCUGUGCAGGAUGGGAAUUCACAAUCCCUCCUACUCAGUACCUCUGAGCAGGACGGGAUUUCUGUUUCAUUAUCAGGAGACUGUGGAAUUCACCCCUCUUCAGAAAACUUACUUUCCUUUGCCUCAAACUGUCCCUCUCAGGAUCUGUCACGAUCACUCUGAGAAAUUCACAUGGGCAGCCUGUAUGGAAGUGCCCAUCCUAGAGUCCCUGCCCUUCCUUCCUUGCUCCGUAGGGCUUCCUCUGACACUUGGGGUCACAUCUCCCAGGGAGUACACACCUCUGGCACUUCCAGUGAUUCCCAGGCCCUGGGAUACUGUGGAUGGGACUUGGAACUCAAUCUCUUUCUUCCCAUCCUCACCUUUGGUUAUCUGUGUUCUGUCUUCACCAGAUUUAGGAGGCCUUGUCUUCUCUUUGCUCAUUUCAUUUCAGUCAGGCUUUUCUAUUCCAACUCUCUGAUCUCAGGACAGAUCAGGUUAGACCACAGAAAAGAGAAAGACCAAGCAAACAUCACUGAUCUGUGCAGAAGCUGCUGGGAAGGGAUUCGAUUCUCAUUGGUUUAGGGUUUUAAGCCCACUGCUCACCGGCAGGCAGGUUCCCUCCAGAGUCUGGCUUCUGUCUGGUACCUUGUACUACAAAGAACUCAGUGACCAGCCCACCUUCACAAUCACACCUCCCUUAGAGCUAUCUUUGCAGAGGCUCUUUCUCAGACUUCCAUGUCCCACUGAAAUCCCAUUUCUCUUUCCUUACAAACAUUGUGCUCAUUCUCAGGGCCCUGAGACCUCAUCUGCAGGUGAGUCUUGUCCUCUUCUCUCCUUGGCGGGGGGAGCUUUGGAGUGGACCUCAUGUCUUUGGACAGCUAUCCUGGGGCUUCUUCCACCCUGGUGCUCUAGGGCUGGAUCUCUCCAUGUACUUGAGGGGUCAUGGAAGGGGCACAAGGCUAAAAGAGUGGAUCUUCCAGGUGAGGUGGGUUUAAGAAGCCUGAAUGAAGUUCUUCCCUGAAGGGUGCGUAUUUUGCAGUCCAGACAUCCUGCUCCUCUCAGUCUAAGAGUCCUAGCACGUCUUCAGGCGCUUUCUCCUUUGACCUUGAGGCCAUGCCUGCACCCUCUGCAGCCAGGUCUCCGACAUGUGUAGCAGCACCAGUAGGUGUGGUAGCCUCUUCAGCCCCUGUCUCCUCCUCCAGAUGCUCCUGGAGGUGCCUGGCUCUUCUUGCCAGGACUCCAGGAUGCUGACCAGGAACUCAGUGUUGGUUAGACUGAGGGCAGACCUGAUGGCACUCACUUUCUUCAAAAACUCAGCCUCAAGACCAGGGGCCUUUUGCCCACAGGGGUGUGAGAUGUUUUGGUCUGGUCUGCCAGACCAUGGCUAACCCCUUGACCUUACACACUUGGGUAGAAUACUCAUACUUGACCUAUGGAUCUCUGGAGUAAUUUGAUGAGUGAGAAUUCUGCCUAGUGGAAGCUGAUGCAAAAGGCCUCGCUGAUACUUGGGGAAUCCUCCUGGGCUUGGAACUUGGGCUUUUUGUUCUCAUGUUCUACCCUGAGUGACACUUUCCUCUUGGGUUGGGACUUGCAAUA